RNAcentral lists this ribosomal RNA (433 nucleotides) under uncultured bacterium. RNAcentral's name for it is "bacterial SSU rRNA". It matches the Rfam family "Bacterial small subunit ribosomal RNA", at positions 28 to 443 of the family's 1533-position model. The record is from RNAcentral.
GAUGAACGCUGGCGGCGUGCUUAACACAUGCAAGUCGAACGAAGCACUUAAGAAUGAUUCUUCGGAUGAAUUUUUUUGUGACUUAGUGGCGGACGGGUGAGUAACGCGUGGGUAACCUGCCUCACACAGGGGGAUAACAGUUGGAAACGACCGCUAAUACCGCAUAACCCGCUAGGGCCGCAUGGCCCGGACGGAAAAGAUUUAUCGGUGUGAGAUGGACCCGCGUUGGAUUAGCUAGUUGGCAGGGUAACGGCCUACCAAGGCGACGAUCCAUAGCCGGCCUGAGAGGGUGAACGGCCACAUUGGGACUGAGACACGGCCCAAACUCCUACGGGAGGCAGCAGUGGGGAAUAUUGCACAAUGGGGGAAACCCUGAUGCAGCGACGCCGCGUGAGUGAAGAAGUAUUUCGGUAUGUAAAGCUCUAUCAGCAGG